Molecule: ribosomal RNA, 253 nt
Filed under: uncultured bacterium
Lineage: Bacteria
Description: partial 16S ribosomal RNA
Rfam family: Bacterial small subunit ribosomal RNA
Source: RNAcentral
UACGUAGGGUGCGAGCGUUACUCGGAAUUACUGGGCGUAAAGCGUGCGCAGGCGGUUUUGUAAGCCAGAUGUGAAAUCCCCGGGCUCAACCUGGGAAUGGCAUUUGGGACUGCAAGGCUGGAGUACGGCAGAGGAGACUGGAAUUCCUGGUGUAGCAGUGAAAUGCGUAGAUAUCAGGAGGAAUACCGAUGGCGAAGGCAGGUCUCUGGGCUGAUACUGACGCUGAGGAGCGAAAGCGUGGGGAGCGAACAGG